RNAcentral lists this ribosomal RNA (321 nucleotides) under Triticum aestivum (bread wheat). Its description in RNAcentral is "partial small subunit ribosomal RNA". The record is from RNAcentral. Lineage: Eukaryota; Viridiplantae; Streptophyta; Magnoliopsida; Poales; Poaceae.
AUGGCAGAUGGCAAGAAACCUCAGAAGGAAGGUACGAAAUUGGAAGUCAACACAGCGUUUGAAAUCCCUGAGGAUAUCUAUGAUGAAUAUUGCACUACUGAUGAGGCCAAACAUGGUAAGGAGACUAAGAAUCGGCGCAAGGUGCGCAUACAGAAGAUAGAGAGGAGAUGGGCACGGGAAUGGAGGGAAUAUCGCUAUGUUACACCCAAGUACAUGAAGAAAUUCGUUGUACAUCCUCCACUCCCAAGACCUCCAUUGGCACCUGGCCAAGUUGCUGAUCCCUCUAGCAUCAGAAGAGGUGAGGAAUUUCCCAAGGAAUAG